Molecule: ribosomal RNA, 494 nt
Filed under: uncultured bacterium
Lineage: Bacteria
Description: partial 16S ribosomal RNA
Rfam family: Bacterial small subunit ribosomal RNA
Source: RNAcentral
GAUGAACGCUGGCGGCGUGCCUAAUACAUGCAAGUCGAGCGAACAGACGAGGAGCUUGCUCCUCUGACGUUAGCGGCGGACGGGUGAGUAACACGUGGAUAACCUACCUAUAAGACUGGGAUAACUUCGGGAAACCGGAGCUAAUACCGGAUAAUAUAUUGAACCGCAUGGUUCAAUAGUGAAAGACGGUUUUGCUGUCACUUAUAGAUGGAUCCGCGCCGCAUUAGCUAGUUGGUAAGGUAACGGCUUACCAAGGCAACGAUGCGUAGCCGACCUGAGAGGGUGAUCGGCCACACUGGAGCUGAGACACGGUCCAGACUCCUACAGGAGGCAGCAGUAGGGAAUCUUCCGCAGUGGGCGAAAGCCUGAAGGAGCAACGCCGCGUGGGUGAUGAAGGUCUUCGGGUCGUAAAACUCUGUUAUUAGGGAAGAACAAAUGUGUAAGUAACUAUGCACGUCUUGACGGUACCUAAUCAGAAAGCCGCGGCUAACUAC